AAAGUCGUAACAAGGUUUCCGUAGGUGAACCUGCGGAAGGAUCAUUACCUAGAGUUUGUGGGCUUUGCCCGCUACCUCUUACCCAUGUCUUUUGAGUACUUACGUUUCCUCGGCGGGUCCGCCCGCCGAUUGGACAAAAUUAAACCCUUUGCAGUUGCAAUCAGCGUCUGAAAAACAAAUAAUAAUUACAACUUUUAACAACGGAUCUCUUGGUUCUG
This 218-nucleotide unclassified non-coding RNA is filed under the name Ascomycota sp. RNAcentral describes it as "partial contains small subunit ribosomal RNA, internal transcribed spacer 1, and 5.8S ribosomal RNA". The stretch from base 1 to 47 matches the Rfam family "Eukaryotic small subunit ribosomal RNA", at positions 1785 to 1831 of the family's 1831-position model. The record is from RNAcentral. Lineage: Eukaryota; Fungi; Ascomycota.